UUUUUCUCCUUUUGAUGUGACGAAACACAAGAAUGAAGAUUUGGAGUGAAAAUGUUGAUUGAGAAUGGAAGGGUUUUUGAAAAGGGUUUGAGUGAAAAAUAAGUAUGGGUCUAUGAUCAUGCAGAUGACUAUUUUAUCAAAAUCACGUUUCCUUAUUCUGAAGAUGCAUUUCUGUAAAUACAUGACAUAUAAAUGUGACAAAUAUUUU
Molecule: long non-coding RNA, 208 nt
Filed under: Lathyrus oleraceus (garden pea)
Lineage: Eukaryota; Viridiplantae; Streptophyta; Magnoliopsida; Fabales; Fabaceae
Description: Pisum sativum (pea) long non-coding RNA (PSAT_LNC008679)
Source: RNAcentral